CGGGGCGUAGCGCAGACCGGUAGCGCGCACGGUUCGGGUCCGUGAGGUCGGCGGUUCAAAUCCGCCCGCCCCGACCA
Molecule: transfer RNA, 77 nt
Filed under: Anaerolineae bacterium
Lineage: Bacteria; Bacillati; Chloroflexota; Anaerolineae
Description: tRNA-Pro
Rfam family: tRNA
About the family: Transfer RNA (tRNA) molecules are approximately 80 nucleotides in length.
Source: RNAcentral